RNAcentral lists this ribosomal RNA (426 nucleotides) under uncultured bacterium. RNAcentral's name for it is "bacterial SSU rRNA". It matches the Rfam family "Bacterial small subunit ribosomal RNA", at positions 356 to 773 of the family's 1533-position model. The record is from RNAcentral.
GAGGAAUUUUGCGCAAUGGGCGGAAGUCUGACGCAGCAACGCCGCGUGAGUGAAGAAGGCCUUCGGGUCGUAAAACUCUGUCGGGCGGGAAGAAACUGUGCGGCAGGAACAUGGCCGCGCACUGACGGUACCGCCGAAGGAAGCACCGGCUAACUCCGUGCCAGCAGCCGCGGUAAUACGGAGGGUGCGAGCGUUAUUCGGAAUUAUUGGGCGUAAAGGGCGCGCAGGCGGUUCCGCAAGUCGGAUGUGAAAGCCCGGGGCUUAACCCCGGAAGUGCAUUUGAUACUGCGGGACUUGAGUAUGGGAGAGGAAGGCGGAAUUCCUGGUGUAGCGGUGAAAUGCGUAGAUAUCAGGAGGAACACCGGUGGCGAAGGCGGCCUUCUGGACCAAUACUGACGCUGAGGUGCGAAGGCGUGGGGAGCAAAC